GUGUGUGUGUGUGUGUGUGUGUGUGUGUGCGUGUGUGCGUGUGCGUGCGUGCGUGCGUGCGCGAGCGUAAAAUACACAGAGCUACGCUAUGACCCUCAAUCAAAACAUUGUCUCUUACCGCCAUGUUUUCGGGGUUACAGGUAAAUGCUAUUACAAAGGCAUGGAAAUGGACCGCCAGAGCGCAGGGUUCUCAUCGCAAUGCACAUCGUAUUCUUGCGAUCCGGAUAGAAGAACGCUUACUGUGCGCGGGUGCCCGCCUCCUGCCGACUACAGAAGGACAUCUACAGAUCCCAAGGUUUAUCCGAACUGCUGCAACUGAAUUACCUAAAUGCAUGCUGGAACCAUUUCUCGACAGGUUCUUAUGUUCCAUUUCACCAGUCUACAGCCUGUUUGUAACGAAUAAAAAGCUAUCCUUAAUGAAGUUUGCAUGAUUCCCUUCUAAAUGGAUAUAGGCUUUCAAUAAAUUUGUUUGCCUGCAA
This is a non-coding RNA of Dermacentor andersoni, 479 nucleotides long. The record is from RefSeq and is a predicted model, not a curated record. Lineage: Eukaryota; Metazoa; Arthropoda; Arachnida; Ixodida; Ixodidae.